This 301-nucleotide ribosomal RNA is filed under the name uncultured bacterium. RNAcentral describes it as "partial 16S ribosomal RNA". It matches the Rfam family "Bacterial small subunit ribosomal RNA", at positions 509 to 807 of the family's 1533-position model. The record is from RNAcentral.
CAGCCGCCGCGGGAAUACAGAGGGUGCGAGCGUUAAUCGGAUUUACUGGGCGUAAAGCGUGCGUAGGCGGCUUCUUAAGUCGGAUGUGAAAUCCCUGAGCUUAACUUGGGAAUUGCAUUCGAUACUGGGAAGCUAGAGUAUGGGAGAGGAUGGUAGAAUUCCAGGUGUAGCGGUGAAAUGCGUAGAGAUCUGGAGGAAUACCGAUGGCGAAGGCAGCCAUCUGGCCUAAUACUGACGCUGAGGUACGAAAGCAUGGGGAGCAAACAGGAUUAGAUACCCCGGUAGUCCCUGUCUCUUAUAC